Molecule: ribosomal RNA, 493 nt
Filed under: uncultured bacterium
Lineage: Bacteria
Description: partial 16S ribosomal RNA
Rfam family: Bacterial small subunit ribosomal RNA
Source: RNAcentral
GACGAACGCUGGCGGCGUGCUUAACACAUGCAAGUCGAACGCUGAAGCCCUUUCGGGGGUGGAUGAGUGGGGAACGGGUGAGUAACACGUGGGUAAUCUGCCCUGUACUUCGGGAUAAGCCUUGGAAACGGGGUCUAAUACCGGAUAGGACCUGUCCUCGCAUGGGGGUGGGUGGAAAGUUCCGGCGGUAUGGGAUGAGCCCGCGGCCUAUCAGCUUGUUGGGGGGGUAGUGGCCUACCAAGGCGAUGACGGGUAGCCGGCCUGAGAGGGUGACCGGUCACACUGGGACGGGGACACGGCCAAGAGUCCUACGGGAGGCAGCAGUGGGGAAUCUUGCGCAAUGGGCGAAAGCCGGACGCAGAAACGGCGCGUGGGGGAUGACGGCCUUCGGGUUGUAAACCUCUUUCGACAUCGACGAAGGGGCCCUGUUGUGGGGUUUUGACGGUAGGUGUAGAAGAAGCACCGGCUAACUACGUGCCAGCAGCCGCCGCCG